RNAcentral lists this ribosomal RNA (181 nucleotides) under Enterobacter cloacae. RNAcentral's name for it is "partial 23S ribosomal RNA". It matches the Rfam family "Bacterial large subunit ribosomal RNA", at positions 2768 to 2925 of the family's 2925-position model. RNAcentral also lists the same sequence under 1 other name. Lineage: Bacteria; Pseudomonadati; Pseudomonadota; Gammaproteobacteria; Enterobacterales; Enterobacteriaceae. The record is from RNAcentral.
GUGCUGAAAGCAUCUAAGCACGAAACUUGCCCCGAGAUGAGUUCUCCCUGAGACUUUAAGUCUCCUGAAGGAACGUUGAAGACGACGACGUUGAUAGGUCGGGUGUGUAAGCGCAGCGAUGCGUUGAGCUAACCGAUACUAAUGAACCGUGAGGCUUAACCUUACAACGCCGAAGGUGUUU